This 627-nucleotide long non-coding RNA is filed under the name Homo sapiens (human). RNAcentral describes it as "HSALNT0385105". The record is from RNAcentral. Lineage: Eukaryota; Metazoa; Chordata; Mammalia; Primates; Hominidae.
UCAGACAGGAUGAGAGGAGGAUAAGGCUAAAGACAGAGGCUCCAGCUACCUUGGUGACAAGGAAUGGAGGAGAAAAGGAACAGGAAAUUUUAAUAAGAUUAGGAGGGCUUGCUUUUCUGCCAAGUGAGCCGCUUUCACAGGAGCGAUAAAUUGGAAAUGUUAUCUGGCUUGAUAUGCCAGUUUUUCUGAGAAAAUCACUCUGCCAGUGGUGACAGAAUGGAAGAGCUGAAAACAUCUUCUUUUUUCAAAGUCAUAUGUCACGAACCAAGGAGACUCCAAAAAAUAAAUUAUGGAAGAUUAUGACCACUGCUGCCAAGGAUACAGUGAAAUAGAGUUUGUGGCAUCUGGUUUUAACUCCAAUAUGUAAAGAGCUUGGAAGCCAUCUUUCCUUCCACCACAACAAGAAAACAGCUGAACUGAAAAUCAAUGACUUUUCUUAGAUCCAUUAAAGAAUUGAGAUUGCAGGACACACUACCACCCUGAAAACUGGAGAGAGGAAAAAUACAGAGAGGAAGCAGAUCAGCUUACCUGAAGCAGAGGCCGCUGGAAUCUGUGACAGGUGAAACUGAAGAGGCUGCAGCUUUGAGAAGACACAUGAUUUUCACAUGUUCACACAGCAAGUGCAAU